This 76-nucleotide transfer RNA is filed under the name Caldisericia bacterium. RNAcentral's name for it is "tRNA-Lys". It matches the Rfam family "tRNA". From Rfam's summary of the family: Transfer RNA (tRNA) molecules are approximately 80 nucleotides in length. Their secondary structure includes four short double-helical elements and three loops (D, anti-codon, and T loops). Lineage: Bacteria; Pseudomonadati; Caldisericota; Caldisericia. The record is from RNAcentral.
GGGGCGCUAGCUCAAUUGGUAGAGCAUCUGACUCUUAAUCAGGCGGUUACAGGUUCGAGUCCUGUGCGCCCCACCA